GGCGUAAAGCGUGGUUAAAAGUCCCACUAAACUAAGACUAAACCUUUCCAAGGCUGUUAUACGCACCCGGAAAUAUGAAACUCAACUACGAAAGUGGCCUUAAUUUACCCUUGACCCCACGAAAGCUGCGAAACAAACUGGGAUUAGAUACCCCACUAUGCACAGCCAUAAACUUUGAUUGAAAACUACAAAUUCUAUCCGCCCGGGAACUACGAGCAUAAGCUUAAAACCCAAAGGACUUGGCGGUGCUUUAGACCCCCCUAGAGGAGCCUGUUCUAGAACCGAUAACCCCCGAUAGACCUCACCUUUUCUUGUCUAUUCCGCCUAUAUACCGCCGUCGUCAGCNNACCUGUGAAGAUAAAUAGUAAGCAAACUGGUAAACCAAACGCAGUCGAGAGCAUACGAAAGGAAAGAAAUGGGCUACAUUUCCUUUACUUAGGAAACACGAAUUGUGCUAUGAAAUAACACAUGAAGGUGGAUUAGCAGUAAGAAAAAGAAGUUCCGCUGAAA
This 510-nucleotide ribosomal RNA is filed under the name Gambusia affinis (western mosquitofish). RNAcentral describes it as "partial 12S ribosomal RNA". It matches the Rfam family "Bacterial small subunit ribosomal RNA", at positions 557 to 1367 of the family's 1533-position model. The record is from RNAcentral. Lineage: Eukaryota; Metazoa; Chordata; Actinopteri; Cyprinodontiformes; Poeciliidae.